RNAcentral lists this ribosomal RNA (2887 nucleotides) under Vibrio parahaemolyticus. RNAcentral's name for it is "23S ribosomal RNA". It matches the Rfam family "Bacterial large subunit ribosomal RNA". The record is from RNAcentral. Lineage: Bacteria; Pseudomonadati; Pseudomonadota; Gammaproteobacteria; Vibrionales; Vibrionaceae.
GGUUAAGUGACUAAGCGUACACGGUGGAUGCCUUGGCAGUCAGAGGCGAUGAAAGACGUAGUAACUUGCGAUAAGCCCAGAUUAGGUAGUAACAACCAUUUGAGUCUGGGAUUUCUGAAUGGGGAAACCCACUUACAUAAGUAAGUAUCAUUAACUGAAUACAUAGGUUAAUGAGGCGAACCGGGGAACUGAAACAUCUAAGUACCCCGAGGAAAAGAAAUCAACCGAGAUUCCGAAAGUAGCGGCGAGCGAAAUUGGACUAGCCCUUAAGCUUUACACGCGUUAGACGAACGGUCUGGAAAGUCCGACGAUACAGGGUGAUAGUCCCGUAGUUGACGACGUGUGUUCAGUGAAAUCGAGUAGGGCGGGACACGUGAUAUCCUGUCUGAAUAUGGGGGACCAUCCUCCAAGGCUAAAUACUACUGACUGACCGAUAGUGAACCAGUACCGUGAGGGAAAGGCGAAAAGAACCCCUGUGAGGGGAGUGAAAUAGAACCUGAAACCGUGUACGUACAAGCAGUAGGAGCAGGCUUUGUCCUGUGACUGCGUACCUUUUGUAUAAUGGGUCAGCGACUUAUAUUCAGUGGCAAGGUUAACCAUCUAGGGGAGCCGUAGGGAAACCGAGUCUUAACUGGGCGUUCAGUCUCUGGAUAUAGACCCGAAACCAGGUGAUCUAGCCAUGGGCAGGUUGAAGGUUGAGUAACAUCAACUGGAGGACCGAACCGACUAAUGUUGAAAAAUUAGCGGAUGACUUGUGGCUAGGGGUGAAAGGCCAAUCAAACCUGGAGAUAGCUGGUUCUCCCCGAAAGCUAUUUAGGUAGCGCCUCGGACGAAUACUACUGGGGGUAGAGCACUGUUAAGGCUAGGGGGUCAUCCCGACUUACCAACCCUUUGCAAACUCCGAAUACCAGUAAGUACUAUCCGGGAGACACACGGCGGGUGCUAACGUCCGUCGUGGAGAGGGAAACAACCCAGACCGCCAGCUAAGGUCCCAAAUUACUACUAAGUGGGAAACGAUGUGGGAAGGCUCAGACAGCCAGGAUGUUGGCUUAGAAGCAGCCAUCAUUUAAAGAAAGCGUAAUAGCUCACUGGUCGAGUCGGCCUGCGCGGAAGAUGUAACGGGGCUAAGUAGUAAACCGAAGCUGCGGCAAUGUGCUUUUGCACAUUGGGUAGGGGAGCGUUCUGUAAGCGGUUGAAGGUGUGUGGUAACGCAUGCUGGACGUAUCAGAAGUGCGAAUGCUGACAUGAGUAACGAUAAAGGGGGUGAAAAACCUCCUCGCCGGAAGACCAAGGGUUCCUGUCCAACGUUAAUCGGGGCAGGGUAAGUCGACCCCUAAGGCGAGGCCGAAAGGCGUAGUCGAUGGGAAACGGGUUAAUAUUCCCGUACUUCUUACAAUUGCGAUGGGGGACGGAGAAGGCUAGGUGGGCCUGGCGACGGUUGUCCAGGUUCAAGUGCGUAGGCUUAAGAGUUAGGUAAAUCCGGCUCUUUCUAAGGCUGAGACACGACGUCGAGCACCUACGGGUGUGAAGUCAUUGAUGCCAUGCUUCCAGGAAAAGCCUCUAAGCUUCAGAUUGUAAGGAAUCGUACCCCAAACCGACACAGGUGGUCGGGUAGAGAAUACCAAGGCGCUUGAGAGAACUCGGGUGAAGGAACUAGGCAAAAUGGUACCGUAACUUCGGGAGAAGGUACGCUCUUGAUGGUGAAGUCCCUUGCGGAUGGAGCUGACGAGAGUCGCAGAUACCAGGUGGCUGCAACUGUUUAUUAAAAACACAGCACUGUGCAAAAUCGUAAGAUGACGUAUACGGUGUGACGCCUGCCCGGUGCCGGAAGGUUAAUUGAUGGGGUUAGACUUCGGUCGAAGCUCUUGAUCGAAGCCCCGGUAAACGGCGGCCGUAACUAUAACGGUCCUAAGGUAGCGAAAUUCCUUGUCGGGUAAGUUCCGACCUGCACGAAUGGCGUAAUGAUGGCCACGCUGUCUCCACCCGAGACUCAGUGAAAUUGAAAUCGCUGUGAAGAUGCAGUGUACCCGCGGCUAGACGGAAAGACCCCGUGAACCUUUACUACAGCUUGGCACUGAACAUUGACCCUACAUGUGUAGGAUAGGUGGGAGGCUUUGAAGCACGUACGCCAGUAUGUGUGGAGCCGUCCUUGAAAUACCACCCUUGUAGUGUUGAUGUUCUAACGUCGACCCCUAAUCGGGGUUGCGGACAGUGCCUGGUGGGUAGUUUGACUGGGGCGGUCUCCUCCCAAAGAGUAACGGAGGAGCACGAAGGUGGGCUAAUCACGGUUGGACAUCGUGAGGUUAGUGCAAUGGCAUAAGCCCGCUUGACUGCGAGAAUGACAAUUCGAGCAGGUGCGAAAGCAGGUCAUAGUGAUCCGGUGGUUCUGAAUGGAAGGGCCAUCGCUCAACGGAUAAAAGGUACUCCGGGGAUAACAGGCUGAUACCGCCCAAGAGUUCAUAUCGACGGCGGUGUUUGGCACCUCGAUGUCGGCUCAUCACAUCCUGGGGCUGAAGUCGGUCCCAAGGGUAUGGCUGUUCGCCAUUUAAAGUGGUACGCGAGCUGGGUUUAGAACGUCGUGAGACAGUUCGGUCCCUAUCUGCCGUGGGCGUUGGAAGAUUGAAGGGGCUGCUCCUAGUACGAGAGGACCGGAGUGGACGAACCUCUGGUGUUCGGGUUGUGUCGCCAGACGCAUUGCCCGGUAGCUAAGUUCGGAAUCGAUAACCGCUGAAAGCAUCUAAGCGGGAAGCGAGCCCUGAGAUGAGUCUUCCCUGAUACUUUAAGUAUCCUAAAGGGUUGUCGGAGACUACGACGUUGAUAGGUCAGGUGUGUAAGUGCUGUGAGGCAUUGAGCUAACUGAUACUAAUUGCCCGUGAGGCUUAACCAU